AGGUCGACGUGAAUGCCUUGCAUUACGAAGCGUUCGAAGUAUCUGAGAGGCAAUCCUUCAACGGUUGAUCGGUUCUUGUCAUCUUCGCCUUUCUCCAGGUAUCUCUUCACCGACUCCAAAUCCAUUUCUUCUUUUUUCUCCUGCUCUUUCAGUCUCGCAAUUCACCAGCAUAUGCGAAAAUAAUAAUAGUUUAAUUAACGAAAGAGCUUUCACAUUUCACCUAAACUUUAACCAAUGUGUUGAAUUUGGAUUACUUAAGAAAAAUAUUAAAUUCUUUUUUUAAUAAAUCAAAUUUAUUUUUUAAAAAUUAUUUCUCUGUACAAAAAAUUCUUCAACUUACGAUCUCCGCUUUCUAGAUUUUUUUCUCCUAAUUUUAUUGUUUCCUCUGUUUUUUCUUAUGUGUUUUUUUUUUCUCAAAUCUCCGACAUUUUAGAACAUAUUCUGAAUAAUUAUUCAAAUUUAUCUGUGUCCUUUUUAAUUGGGAUUAUUUGAUUUGAUUUGAUUUGUUGAUUAUUGAUUUUACUUAGUAAAAUGCUUCACAUUUGGAGUAGAGUUUGGUAAGUUUCCAAAAGAUUAACAAAACUUUAUUGAUUAUGCUAACAAAGCUCUGCAUGUGCUAAUAAAGUCAUCUCUCUCACUUAUGAUUUGCCAAAAGUAUUGAUUAGUAUUAAUCACAAGUAUAAUCAGUUGUUCUUGAUCUGAGCUGAUUUCUGAAGCAAGAAAAUCUUCUUCAAAACCUUAAUCAACAAAACCGCGCUUUGUUUCUUAGGCUGAUACACUCUGUCAGGUUUAGACAUUGUUAAAGCCUGCACAGAGCAAAGUUGCAGAUCCUGAGUAUAUCCAGAUGAUUGUUUAUUCUUGCUGGAGGAAGAAACCCUUUGAAGUUCUUCGUUGAAGUCCUCCCACAACAUAUCCAUCUUCUCCUCCUCAUUGGCAUCUUCUCCCUCGUCCUCAGGAUAAACUAUGGAAGAAACACGCCAUAAGGAAGGUGAAAUUGGAAUGCGAGGAAGAGUGUUGGUGAUCUUAGGGAAGCUGAAUUCAUCUGCUGAUACCAUAGCUUUGGUUACAAAUGAAACGAGUUGGAUAUAUGAAAGAAAGAGUUGAAAAAUUGGAUAGAUUUUUCCACAAAGAGUUUGAAUACUUG
RNAcentral lists this long non-coding RNA (1144 nucleotides) under Manihot esculenta (cassava). RNAcentral describes it as "long non-coding RNA (MESC_LNC008212)". Lineage: Eukaryota; Viridiplantae; Streptophyta; Magnoliopsida; Malpighiales; Euphorbiaceae. The record is from RNAcentral.